UAGGGAAUCUUCCGCAAUGGGCGAAAGCCUGACGGAGCAACGCCGCGUGAGUGAUGAAGGUCUUCGGAUCGUAAAACUCUGUUAUUAGGGAAGAACAAAUGUGUAAGUAACUAUGCACGUCUUGACGGUACCUAAUCAGAAAGCCACGGCUAACUACGUGCCAGCAGCCGCGGUAAUACGUAGGUGGCAAGCGUUAUCCGGAAUUAUUGGGCGUAAAGCGCGCGUAGGCGGUUUUUUAAGUCUGAUGUGAAAGCCCACGGCUCAACCGUGGAGGGUCAUUGGAAACUGGAAAACUUGGGUGCAGAAGAGGAAAGUGGAAUUCCAUGUGUAGCGGUGAAAUGCGCAGAAAUAUGGAGGAACACCAGUGGCGAAGGCGACUUUCUGAUCUGUAACUGACGCUGAUGUGCGAAAGCGUGAGGAUCAAACAGG
Molecule: ribosomal RNA, 429 nt
Filed under: Actinomycetes bacterium
Lineage: Bacteria; Bacillati; Actinomycetota; Actinomycetes
Description: Actinobacteria bacterium partial 16S ribosomal RNA
Rfam family: Bacterial small subunit ribosomal RNA
Source: RNAcentral